CGCACGAGUAGUCUAGUUAAGUGAUCAAUGUUAUAAGCAUGUGGUGUGUGUUUGUUUAAAUCAUUGAUUUUCGUAAUCACAUCAUCGUACAUUAAAAAUACAUUUUUAUUUUGAUAAUGAACAUCCCGAAUAACGGUAUAACAAUUUGUAAGAAAAUCUCUGACGACUCGUUUCCAAUUCAAUAUAUAAAUAGUGUUAUUUAUUUCAAUCGAAAAAUAAAGAUUGACAGAAUACUUACUGAAAUCUAAUAAUUUGAAUAAUGAAUAGCAUCCCGGCUGGGGCGCUGUUCCGGAAUUGGGAAAGAAGUCAGCGUGGCCUAUACUUUUAAAGAAGCCGAUAGUCCCUCCUGAAGUGUG
Rhopalosiphum maidis (corn leaf aphid) is the source of this 356-nucleotide long non-coding RNA. RefSeq lists it as uncharacterized. The transcript is spliced from 3 exons. Lineage: Eukaryota; Metazoa; Arthropoda; Insecta; Hemiptera; Aphididae. The record is from RefSeq and is a predicted model, not a curated record.